GGUUAAGUUAGUAAGGGCGCACGGUGGAUGCCUUGGCACUAGGAGCCGAAGAAGGACGUGACAAACGACGAAAUGCCUCGGGGAGCUGUAAGUAAGCGACGAUCCGUGGAUA
RNAcentral lists this ribosomal RNA (112 nucleotides) under Streptococcus gordonii. Its description in RNAcentral is "partial 23S ribosomal RNA". It matches the Rfam family "Bacterial large subunit ribosomal RNA", at positions 1 to 112 of the family's 2925-position model. The record is from RNAcentral. Lineage: Bacteria; Bacillati; Bacillota; Bacilli; Lactobacillales; Streptococcaceae.